RNA transcript from Carlito syrichta (Philippine tarsier), 979 nucleotides. It is a transcript of the gene named ubiquitin-conjugating enzyme E2 R2 pseudogene, with no coding region annotated. The transcript has a single exon. Lineage: Eukaryota; Metazoa; Chordata; Mammalia; Primates; Tarsiidae. The record is from RefSeq and is a predicted model, not a curated record.
AUGGCCCAGCAGCAGAUGACCAGCUCGCAGAAGGCCCUGAUGCUCCAGCUGAACUCCCUGCAGGAGGAGCCGGUGGAGGACUUCCGGAUCACCCUGGUGGACGAGUCCGACCUCUACAACUGGGAGGUGGCCGUCUUCGGACCCCCAACGCCCUCUACGAAGGCAGCUACUUCAAGGCGCAUAUUAAAUUUCCUAUUGACUACCCCUAUUCACCACCUACCUUCAGAUUCUUGACCAAAAUGUGGCACCUCAACAUUUAUGAGAAUGGAGAUGUAUGCAUUUCGAUUCUUCAUCUGCCUGUAGAUGACCCCACAGAGUGGAGAGCUGCCUCUGAAUCCUACUCAGAAUGUGAGGACUAUCCUGUUAAGUGUAAUCUCACUGCUUAAUGAGCCCAAUGCCUUCUCCCCAGCCAAUGUGGAUGCUUCAGUUAUGUUCAGGAAAUGGAGAGACAGUAAAGGAAAAGACAAAGAAUGUGCUGAAAUCAUUAGGAAACAGGUUUCGGCCACUAAGGCCGAAGCAGAAAAGGAUGGAGUGAAGUUCCCCAUGACCCUGGCGGAAUACUGCAUCAAAACUAAAGUACCUUCCAAUGACAACAGCUCAGAUUUGCUUUGUGACGACUUGUAUGAUGACGACAUUGAUGAUGAAGAUGAACAGGAGGAAGAUGCCGACUGUUAUGAUGAUGACGAUUCUGGGAACGAGGAAUCAUGACGUGUUCCUUCAGUGCCCCUGUUACUGCCCUGCCGUCGGAGGCCGAAGGGAGGGGAGCGAGUGGGGACCUAGCAAUGGCCCCUCAGCAAAAACCUAUUCACAGCAGGUGGGGAAACACACAAAGCUUCUGCUGACUUCCCUCAUGAAUCUCAGUUUGCUCCUUUUUACGGACCUUUAAUGGAGAGAGAGUAACCCUCCACAGAAUGUCUGAAUUCUUGCAUUCUUUACCCUUCCAUCACUGUUUUGAUUCUUUAAAAAACAAAAACAAAAA